Molecule: ribosomal RNA, 300 nt
Filed under: uncultured Enterococcus sp.
Lineage: Bacteria; Bacillati; Bacillota; Bacilli; Lactobacillales; Enterococcaceae
Description: bacterial SSU rRNA
Rfam family: Bacterial small subunit ribosomal RNA
Source: RNAcentral
GUCGGAGCUGGUGGAAUGUGGCGUGGUAAUGCAAAGGGGGGAAACGUUGCUCGGAAGCGUUGGGCGUAAAGCGCACGUAGGCGGCAUUGCAAGUCGGAUGUGAAAGCCCUCGGCUUAACCAAGGAAGUGCAUCCGAAACUGCCGUGCUUGAGGACGAAAGAGGAUCGCGGAAUUCCCGGUGUAGAGGUGAAAUUCGUAGAUAUCGGGAGGAACACCAGUGGCGAAGGCGGCGAUCUGGGUCGAUACUGACGCUGAGGUGCGAAAGCGUGGGGAGCAAACAGGAUUAGAUACCCUUGUAGC